This 77-nucleotide transfer RNA is filed under the name Rhodococcus sp. (in: high G+C Gram-positive bacteria). Its description in RNAcentral is "tRNA-Pro". It matches the Rfam family "tRNA". Rfam says of the family: Transfer RNA (tRNA) molecules are approximately 80 nucleotides in length. Their secondary structure includes four short double-helical elements and three loops (D, anti-codon, and T loops). The record is from RNAcentral. RNAcentral also lists the same sequence under 19 other names. Lineage: Bacteria; Bacillati; Actinomycetota; Actinomycetes; Mycobacteriales; Nocardiaceae.
CGGGGCGUGGCGCAGCUUGGUAGCGCACCUGCUUUGGGAGCAGGGGGUCGCAGGUUCAAAUCCUGUCGCCCCGACCA